CUACUCUCCAGUCCCAGCCCAGGGGACAAUGUCCAGCUGUCUGUUGGUACCUCAGUUUAAAAGAAAAGUCAAGGCUACAUCCAGAAAAGUACCUCUCCCAGGCCUCUUUUUUAUGAGCAUUUAACCAACUCCAGCACCAGAGAGUCUGUAUGGGCCUCCCGGAACGUUCAUGGAGGGACCUGAUACUCCUGCUCUUGCCUGCUUUCCAGCUCUCUGCUGAGCAAAUUCUGAUUUGGAGAGUUGAUUUGCAUGGAUUUUUGUGCAAUCCUAUUUACAAACCAACUGAAAAAAAAAAUCAGGCAAUCCAAUUCCAGAGUACAUCGUGUAGCCUGGAGCUUGCCAGGGAAGGCAGCUGUGGUGAACUCGUGAUGGCCCCAAAGCAUCGUCCUCACCGCUGUGGCUGGCUCAGCCUCCUGAAGUGUCCGUGUUGGAGAAACCUGAGCUUCAGGUAACCUGUUGUUACCAGGUGCAAGACGACGUGUUCCCAGGACUCAGGAGGGACAUAGUUAUGCAUCAGCUGUGAU
Nyctereutes procyonoides (raccoon dog) is the source of this 524-nucleotide long non-coding RNA. RefSeq lists it as uncharacterized. NCBI's taxonomy places the organism in Eukaryota, Metazoa, Chordata, Mammalia, Carnivora, Canidae. The record is from RefSeq and is a predicted model, not a curated record. The transcript is spliced from 2 exons.